RNAcentral lists this ribosomal RNA (357 nucleotides) under Cherax rotundus. RNAcentral's name for it is "partial 12S ribosomal RNA". Lineage: Eukaryota; Metazoa; Arthropoda; Malacostraca; Decapoda; Parastacidae. The record is from RNAcentral.
GCUUGAAUAUUAGUAGUUAUGAUCUUUAAAUUCAAAGAAUUUGGCGGUAUUUUAGUCUUGUUAGAGGAACCUGUUCUAUAAAUGAUACUACACGAAGAAUCUUACUUACUUUUGUUUUUCAGUUUGUAUACCGUCAUUAUUAGAUAACCUUUUAUUGAGGGAGUUAUUGUAAGUAUGCGAAGGCAUAUAUAUUAGAUCAAGGUGCAGCUUAUAGGUAAGAAGAAAUGGGUUACAAUAAAAUUUAUUUACACACGUAUUAGCGGUUGAAUAAUUGUUAUGAAGGAGGAUUUAAUUGUAAUGUGAAUUUAAUAAGUUAACAUGAUAUGAGAACUAAAAUAUGUACAUAUCGCCCGUCGC